RNAcentral lists this ribosomal RNA (473 nucleotides) under uncultured bacterium. Its description in RNAcentral is "bacterial SSU rRNA". It matches the Rfam family "Bacterial small subunit ribosomal RNA", at positions 335 to 799 of the family's 1533-position model. The record is from RNAcentral.
ACUCCUACGGGAGGCAGCAGUGGGGAAUAUUGCACAAUGGGCGCAAGCCUGAUGCAGCCAUGCCGCGUGUAUGAAGAAGGCCUUCGGGUUGUAAAGCACUUUCAGUAGGGAGGAAGGUAGUGUAGUUAACACCUGCAUUAUUUGACGUUACCUACAGAAGAAGCACCGGCUAACUCCGUGCCAGCAGCCGCGGUAAUACGGAGGGUGCGAGCGUUAAUCGGAAUUACUGGGCGUAAAGCGCAUGCAGGCGGCCUGUUAAGUCAGAUGUGAAAGCCCGGGGCUUAACCUCGGAAUUGCAUUUGAAACUGGCAGGCUAGAGUCUUGUAGAGGGGGGUAGAAUUUCAGGUGUAGCGGUGAAAUGCGUAGAGAUCUGAAGGAAUACCGGUGGCGAAGGCGGCCCCCUGGACAGAUACUGACACUCAGAUGCGAAAGCGUGGGGAGCAAACAGGAUUAGAUACCCUGGUAGGAUAGCG